CAAGACCUUGCGCUUUUGGAGCGGCCGAUGUCUGAUUAGCUAGUUGGUGGGGUAAUGGCUUACCAAGGCUUCGAUCAGUAGCUGGUCUGAGAGGACGACCAGCCACACUGGGACUGAGACACGGCCCAGACUCCUACGGGAGGCAGCAGUGGGGAAUUUUGGACAAUGGGGGAAACCCUGAUCCAGCCAUGCCGCGUGAGUGAAGAAGGCCUUCGGGUUGUAAAGCUCUUUCGGCCGGAACGAAAUGGUCAUGGUUAACACCCGUGACAAAUGACGGUACCGGAAGAAGAAGCACCGGCUAACUACGUGCCAGCAGCCGCGGUAAUACGUAGGGUGCAAGCGUUAAUCGGAAUUACUGGGCGUAAAGCGUGCGCAGGCGGUUUUGUAAGUCAGAUGUGAAAUCCCCGGGCUUAACCUGGGAACUGCGUUUGAAACUACAAGG
RNAcentral lists this ribosomal RNA (442 nucleotides) under uncultured Nitrosospira sp. Its description in RNAcentral is "bacterial SSU rRNA". It matches the Rfam family "Bacterial small subunit ribosomal RNA", at positions 207 to 640 of the family's 1533-position model. Lineage: Bacteria; Pseudomonadati; Pseudomonadota; Betaproteobacteria; Nitrosomonadales; Nitrosomonadaceae. The record is from RNAcentral.